RNAcentral lists this ribosomal RNA (582 nucleotides) under uncultured bacterium. Its description in RNAcentral is "partial 16S ribosomal RNA". It matches the Rfam family "Bacterial small subunit ribosomal RNA", at positions 355 to 932 of the family's 1533-position model. The record is from RNAcentral.
UGGGGAAUUUUGGACAAUGGGCGAAAGCCUGAUCCAGCAAUGCCGCGUGUGUGAAGAAGGGCCUUCGGGUUGUAAAGCACUUUUUGUCCGGAAAGAAAUCCUUGGCUCUAAUACAGUCGGGGGAUGACGGUACCGGAAGAAUAAGCACCGGCUAACUACGUGCCAGCAGCCGCGGUAAUACGUAGGGUGCAAGCGUUAAUCGGAAUUACUGGGCGUAAAGCGUGCGCAGGCGGUUUGCUAAGACCGAUGUGAAAUCCCCGGGCUCAACCUGGGAACUGCAUUGGUGACUGGCAGGCUAGAGUAUGGCAGAGGGGGGUAGAAUUCCACGUGUAGCAGUGAAAUGCGUAGAGAUGUGGAGGAAUACCGAUGGCGAAGGCAGCCCCCUGGGCCAAUACUGACGCUCAUGCACGAAAGCGUGGGGAGCAAAACAGGAUUAGAUACCCUGGUAGUCCACGCCCUAAAACGAUGUCAACUGUUGUUGGGGAUUCAUUUCCUUAGUAACGUAGCUAACGCGUGAAGUUGACCGCCUGGGGAGUACGGUCGCAAGAUUAAAACUCAAAUGAAUUGACGGGGUCAUAGCUG